UGGGAGGGAGACAUCUGCCUCUGUUAUCCUCAGAAGGUCAGGUCUGUCUUGUUUGUUAUCUCCUGAAAGAUAUCAUCAAGGAUGUGACCGUGGUGAGUUUUUCGGACUCAGUACCAAGAUGGUUCACUGUCUCCUGGAAGCUAGAGGAGAUGAAUGCAUUAACCCGUUUACAGGAUAAUGAAUUUUUUUAUCACAAUAUUGAUCCCACUUAACUAUUCACAUUAUUUUUUGGACAUAGUGUCAUCUCACUGACAUAUAAUGAGGCGUGAUGUAAAAGUUUGCAAUAUAUACUAGGAUGGCUGUUAAAGUGAGCAGUUCAGGCAAAGUUUAUGUGUAGGGAAAUCCUGGAUCUACAUUACCCCAGUGACUGAUGUGAGCCUGCCCACUGUUGCACUUUUCACACCCUGGUUCUUUGAACAGAGGAGCCUCAGAUGACAAGUCAACAUGCGUCUCUUAACAAAAGAACUUUGUGUUUUCCCCUUUUCUUUGAAACUUUUUUUAUGUUGUACAUUUUGUUCUUGACCUGUGAUGUGCUGUGACACAACCAAAAGACACCAGUCAGUCCUCUGAAAAAAAAUAUUUAUAUCUAUAAUUUUCAGAGAUUUGCAGCUAGAUCUGGUAUGACUAGAAGUUUAUGGUUGCAAACAAUAAGUCACUGGGCAGGGAUGAACAAUUGAUGAUGAAAUACUGUUUUAAAUGUGUCCAUGCUAAACAGAGGCUUCAUAACUAGUAUGGGCUCUACCUCAAAUAUAUCACUUUUUCCCCUUUGAUUUUCUAUUGAGUUGUUUUUAUUGGUGUUAAAACAGUAAAAUACUGUAAUUUUAUAUUAUGAUAAUUGGUAACCCUUAAAAAACUUCAAAUCAUGGCUUUCAACUCCAGGUAAUUAUUCAAGUUGGACUUUUGGCUCUAUUAAAGAGAAAAAGGUUGUUUUAGUUAUUUCCCAAAAGUUAAAAAAGAAAAAAAAAACAUGUUAAAUGUUUGGCUAAUUUACAGCUGAACAAAAAUGAUCAACUUUAAGGUUCCGACAAUAUAAACACACUUGAGAUACAACAGCUUUAAAAGGAGCUUUAAUUCGUCCACACUAACAUGAUACAUCAUUUGGAUUUACUCAAACCAUCAGCAAAAGUGCUUCACAUGGUUAUAAGGCUCCAUACUUCAACAUAAGUUAUAUACUCUGGAUAGACAGAUAAAGGCAACACAACUGCAUCACACCGUAAAAAAGUACUUGUAAAGAAGAACCAUGAAGUGACACACAAUCAGACUGCUGGUGUAUGUGAUCCCUGAAUGUGUCACAGCAGCAGUGUUGGCAGUGGAGUUUGUGGUGGAGUUUGAUGCUGUGGCUGCUGUUGCUGCUGUGUUGGUCGCUGCUGUGUUGGUCGCUGCUGUGUUAGUCGCUGCUGUGUUGGCCGCUGCUGUGGUCUCAGCCGCACUCUUAGUGGCUGUGGCAGUCCCACCCGCUGUGGUGCCUCCUGCAGUGGUGGCUGCAACUGUUGUGUCUGCUGAGGUUACUGACGCUGUGUACAUCGAUGAUUAAAAACGUCAUUAUAGGAGAGGUCUGUAUCCUUUUUCCACUGUUAGCUGUCAUUUAGAAGUAAAAUUUCUUACUUACCCAUGAUCAAGAGCUGUGUCAGAAUCAUCAAAAACAUUGUAAAUCCUGGUUUCAUCUUCAGGAAUUUAGGUAAAGGUCCAGCGAUUUCCCUAAAGCACAGGCCAUAAACAUAUUAUCAGCUAUUUUUUUUUACACAUAAACAUAAGAAGGCACAAAGUCUCUGAAGUUUCGUUUACCUGUGUGUUACUCUGCCUCUUCAGCUCUCUCGUCUCUGGUUUGUCAGCUCAUUCUCUGACUUUGUGGCUGGUUUUAUACAGUCAAAGACAGCCAUGAAUAAUGAUGUGAGAGACACCUUUCUCUCUCCAUACAUGACAGAUGAUCAUUCCUUCCAUUUUAUUCACCACAGUUGGUAAAAAGUUGCUUUGUUAAUACGUCCACUACAACUGCAAGGGCCAACAAAGCAAACAGACUGCUGACGAGCCAAAGGAGGUGUCUGACAGUGUGACACAAAGAGAGCAGUGUGUGAGUGACAAUUUUGAGUUAUCUGUCCAUAGCUGUUCGGGAAAAACUCAAACAAUGAUUGUUUCAAGUCGAGUUUGUGGUAUGAGAAAAAGCAGGGUGUCUUUGUCAUAGAACAUUUACUCUGCUAUUUCUGGCGAACAUACAAUACAGUUCGCCAUCUUGUGAUGCAUUUCUUUAUGUAGAUGCUAUGUUAAAAAUGUAUGUGAAGGAUGUUGUUGUUUGAGGUCACAGGUGAAGUAACAGGUGCAGCUCAAAAAUCACAAUGUCCCCCAAAAAGUUCAUUUCUUUUCUCAGAAUCUAACUAAAAAGUUAAAUUUCCAUAAAUUGAAAUAUUUCACGACUUUUUUGGAUUGAAUCUUGAUGAUUAGGACUUACAGAUCACAAAAAUCUACUGUCUCAAAAUAUUACAAUAUUGUGGAAAAGUCCAGUUUCUUGUGAGUUAUUUCAGAGCUUUCAUCAGCUAACUCUUACUGAGCCUUUCUUUUCUCACUCUGAUUCAUCAAGAGCCACUGAACACAAACGUGUCCAGGAAAUGGGCCAAAAGUCUUGUGUUCCUACUCUGAAGCCACUCCUGAACCAGAGACGUCACCUUUCUCACCCGGACAAAGAGGAAAGACAACUGGACUGUUGCUCAGUGGUACAAAAUGCUGUUUUCAGAUGAAAGUUUACUUUGCAUCCCAUUUGGAAAUCAAAAUCCCAGAGUCUGGAGGAUCAGAGAGGGACAGAAUCUAGGGUAAUGUUAGUUUUACUCUCUCGAGGAUCUCUGGAGUAUCCUCAGGAGAAAGACAGCUGUGCGAAUAAUACAGACAAGCUGAGGUAGCUAUCAAAGAAAUCUGGACUUCCAAAACAUUCCAGCAGAGCCACAGACUGAUUGCCUCCAUGCCACAUUACAGUGAUGCAGUGAUUUGCACAAAAGGAGUCCUGUCCAAGUACUGAGUGUGUAAAUGAACAUCAUUUUCCAUGAGGUUUACAUUUCUGUAAGAUAAAUCCUAUUUUUAUGAUUGGUGUUUUGUUCCUUUUUGAGAUAGUGAAUUUUUGACCCUCUCCGACUGUAACCAUGCACAACAGUGCUAAUACCAGUUUCAGGAGGUCCUUUGUCAUAAAAAGAUCUAAAGAGAGGGUAAAUAUGUGCAUGUUUGUGGAUGUUUAUACCUUCAUUAUACCACCUUAUAGAAGAGAAGUGGCUUUAGCUGUCAGUGUUCAAUGCAGGAUGAUGGAAAAAGGGGAAUAAGGGUUUAGAUUUAACUGUGUUAAAGGGACAUUCCGGUGUAAAAUAAUUUAGGAUCAAACACACCAAAACACAGAGUUAGACAGCCCCUCCAGAGAUGAAUGUUGCUGACCGCUUGCUUCUGUAGUUAUACCAACUUUAGUAACGACCGCAGGAGAGCAAUACACAGCGGUCUCAGGAGCCACAAACAAACCUCAACCAAAACGCCACUCUAUAGGCACAAAUAAUGCUCAGAACAGCACCUAACUUCAUCAAAAGUACAUAUAGGGUCCCAGCCACAGCACUAGCCGCCAAACAUCUUUUUAACUUUGCCUGAUUUCUUUAGCAAAGAGAUUAAACACAACUCACCUACUCUCUUCCAGCAGCCGCUUGUUUGUAUGGAGACCUCGGACAAGUCCAUUAUGGACUACAGCGGGGUGACGUAGCUCAAGGAAGAAAAUUUUGGUAAUUUCUUCAUGGAAAAACAAUCAGACCGAGAUGUUAAGGCAGAAGAACUACCGUGUCUGCAGUGCAAAAUGAUUUAUAUGAUGAUAAUUACUUCAAGGAAAUAAUUAAAUAAUGAUAUAUGGUAUAACUAGAGAAGCAAGCGGUC
Molecule: non-coding RNA, 3891 nt
Organism: Xyrichtys novacula (pearly razorfish)
Lineage: Eukaryota; Metazoa; Chordata; Actinopteri; Labriformes; Labridae
Source: the annotation of a GenBank genome assembly